This 492-nucleotide ribosomal RNA is filed under the name uncultured soil bacterium. Its description in RNAcentral is "bacterial SSU rRNA". It matches the Rfam family "Bacterial small subunit ribosomal RNA", at positions 26 to 515 of the family's 1533-position model. The record is from RNAcentral.
AGAUUGAACGCUGGCGGCAGGCCUAACACAUGCAAGUCGAGCGGCAGCACGGGUACUUGUACCUGGUGGCGAGCGGCGGACGGGUGAGUAAUGCCUAGGAAUCUGCCUGGUAGUGGGGGAUAACGCUCGGAAACGGACGCUAAUACCGCAUACGUCCUACGGGAGAAAGCAGGGGACCUUCGGGCCUUGCGCUAUCAGAUGAGCCUAGGUCGAUUAGCUAGUUGGUGAGGUAAUGGCUCACCAAGGCGACGAUCCGUAACUGGUCUGAGAGGAUGAUCAGUCACACUGGAACUGGGACACGGUCCAGACUCCUACGGGAGCAGCAGUGGGAAUAUUGGACAAUGGGCGAAAGCCUGAUCCAGCCAUGCCGCGUGUGUGAAGAAGGUCUUCGGAUUGUAAAGCUACUUUAAGUGGAGGAAGGCAGUUACCUAAGUACGUAAUCUUGUUUGACGUUACCGACAGAAUAAGCACGGCUAACUCUGUGCCAGCACG